This 460-nucleotide ribosomal RNA is filed under the name uncultured bacterium. RNAcentral's name for it is "partial 16S ribosomal RNA". It matches the Rfam family "Bacterial small subunit ribosomal RNA", at positions 338 to 795 of the family's 1533-position model. The record is from RNAcentral.
CCUACGGGAGGCAGCAGUGAGGAAUAUUGGUCAAUGGGCGGGAGCCUGAACCAGCCAAGUCGCGUGAGGGAAGACGGUCCUAUGGAUUGUAAACCUCUUUAGGCGGGGAGCAAUGCCGGGCACGCGUGCCCGGAGGGAGAGUACCCGCAGAAUAAGCAUCGGCUAACUCCGUGCCAGCAGCCGCGGUAAUACGGAGGAUGCGAGCGUUAUCCGGAUUGAUUGGGGUGAAAGGGUGCGUAGGCGGAUUUUUAAGUCAGCGGUAAAAUGUCCGGGCUCAACCCGGGCCGGCCGUUGAAACUGGGGAUCUUGAGUGGGCGAGAAGUAUGCGGAAUGCGUGGUGUAGCGGUGAAAUGCAUAGAUAUCACGCAGAACUCCGAUUGCGAAGGCAGCAUACCGGCGCCCGACUGACGCUGAGGCACGAAAGCGUGGGGAUCGAACAGGAUUAGAUACCCUGGUAGUC